Pongo pygmaeus (Bornean orangutan) is the source of this 3452-nucleotide long non-coding RNA. RefSeq lists it as uncharacterized. NCBI's taxonomy places the organism in Eukaryota, Metazoa, Chordata, Mammalia, Primates, Hominidae. The record is from RefSeq and is a predicted model, not a curated record. The transcript has 3 exons.
CUGGGCCGAUCCGAAGGCGGGUGGGCAGACGGCGAACACAAUGGCCCCUCGGAGAGAGGACGUGCGAGGCCCGUGCCUUCUCUGGGGCCCGGGGCGCGCGCGGGGCGUGGGGUCUCUGGGUAGGAAAGUUUCUCCCGAGGGCGAGAGUUAAAGCGCCUCCAGAACAAAGCGGCGGCGGCGGCGGCACAUGGGGCAGGCCGCGGGCCGGGAGGGGGCGCGCCCACGAGGUACCUGCGCGCCAGCGGGCGGCGUGGCGUGGGCGGGAGCCCGCGGUUCCCCAAACUUUGUACGCGCGAGGGUGGGCAGAGGGGCGCCGAGAUCGGCGCGGCCUGGGCGCCACCCCCACUCCGCGUGGGCUUUGUUAGCCCGCGUGGGCAGCCUCGGGGCGGGGCCCGCAACUUCCCCGCCGUGGCCCUCGGAGGAGGCCGCAGCCGGCCUCGGCUGCGGCGUGGAGCCGCCUGCGCCCGGCCGCUUGCUGGGAGUGUGGCGCGGGAGGGCCGGCCCGGCUCGGCGGGAGCGGCGUCCCCGCCGCCAUGUUCCUGCGGGGCGGGCUGCACGGGGGUGAGGGCGGGGGACAUGGCGGCGACUGCGCGCCGCCGCCGAUUGUUCCCGUCUUAGGCCUCGGGCCGCGUGCGACGGGCACCGCGGCCGCGGAGCCCCCGCCCCUCUGGGCCGGGCUCGGGGGGGCUGGGGGACACAAAGGAGGGGCGGCGCGCCCGCGUCCCCGCCGCACUCGGGCCUCGGCGCCGCCGGUCGCCGCGCGGCUGCCGCCGGGAAACGGGUUGGGGGGGGGUGCCGCGUCCGGCGGGGCCUGACUCUGACCCGCCGCCCCCUGGCGGCUACGCGGAGAAUAGCAGGGCCGCGCUCCCCCUUGUGAGACAUGUGCUGCCGGCCCGGGCUCCAUGAGCGUGGCGGGCACUUUGCAGUCUCGGGUGUUCUUGCCCGGUCUUCUGUUCCUAAACUGCAGCAAAGGGAGAAGAAACUGAAAAAGGCAGGCUCGUCGUUGCAAUAUCACCAAAAGAGAAAAUUAACGGCAUGCCAUCAGGACCACAGCAGUUGGAGAAACAACUCUUUAUCCCGGCUUGCAGCCACGAGGUCUUGAUUGGGGGAGGGGUGGUGAAGAAUAGUCUGGGCUGGUUUUUUUCUUUUCCUUUUACUGGAGCUGUACAGUGGAGUCGGUGAUUGCUGCUGAUCAUAAUCAAGUAUUUUAGGAGCUUAUUUAGCCAUGUAUCUGAUAGCUAAGGAUUUUUCAACUUUAUUCUCUUACGCAUUUUUCAACUAUACAUUAUUGGGCUUUUAAAUCCUGCUAGUAUUGCUCGACUCUUACUCUCACAAAUGGAUGGAAUUAAUUGCUGUUAGGAGGUUGGAAAAUAGCAAAUAUAGAUUUGGACGGUGGUAGUAAUUUUGAGCAAAUAAUGUUUUAUCUUUUUUUCCUUAUUUUCCCCUACUCCAGUCAUACACGUGGACCUAACUGCACCAGUAGCUUUUCUGAGGAUACUUGCUGAAAAGGAAGUUUUCUGGAAUGGUAUUUGCUAAGUGGAAGCCAGAAGAGGAGGAAAAUGUUUUGCCACGUGGGAUGUGAAGAUUUCCUCUAAAAGUGACAAACAUGGCUUUAAAACUAUGCUUAAAAAGUUCCGGCCGGAUGCAGUGGUUCACACCUAUAAUCCUAGCACUUGGGGAGGCUGAGGCAGAUGGAUUACCUGAGGUCAGGAGUUCGAGACCAACCUGGCCGACAUGGUGAAACGCCGUCUCUACUAAAAAUACAAAAAAUUAGCCAGGUGCAGUGGCGUGUGCCUGUAAUCCCAGCUACUCUGGAGGCUGAGGCAGGAGAAUCACCUGAACCUGGGAGAUGGAGGUUUCAGUGAGCUGAGAUCCUGCCACUGCAUUCCAGCCUGGGCGCAAGACCAAGACUUCAACGCGAAAAAAAAAAAGUUUCAAAAUACAGCAUGGUCUGGUAGUUCGCAAAAUGGUGUGCUGUGGUUAUAAGUGAGGAAAGUAUUUUGUUUUACAUUUGUCAGAAUAUAUCAUUUUAUUUUAAAGCUUUUGGUGAGAUAUACUAGCAGUUUUUUAAAAAAAUGGAACAGUGUGAUAGGAAGCCUGCUGGAUGAUUCCUUAAAUAUUCUAAAAUGUAAGUCAAAUAUGUUUUAAUAACAAAGACUUAAAUGGCUUUUCUCCCUAGAGACUGAAACUGUAGUUUCAUUGUGUUCAGAACUUAAUUGGGCUUGAACUGAGAUUUAAAUCUAAUAAACAAGUUAAUAAGUGUGUUCUGUUUUGUUGUGGGUUUGGUAGUGAUCUGUGGUUCUAUAGGGUUUAAUAGGAAUUGCUUUUGAUUUGUUUCUGGCUUUAGAAUGUGAGGCAAAUUUUACAUUCUUGGUUCUAUUAAGAUUUUCUUAGGCAUGCUAACAUGCCAACAAAAAGCCAUGUAAGUAUUGUAUAAAAAGAUUCACAUUGUUAAUUUAGCCAUUUUGAAAUUCAUAUGAGUGAACAAGUUGAUAAUGGCCUCAUCUCUGACCUGAGAAGAAACAGCUUUGACCUUUGUUCUUAAAAUGCUUUAACCUUGAAGUUGCUUGAGACUUAAGAGGUCAUGUUGCUUUAGGUUUAAUAAAUAGCCUUAACUAUUUGGAGGGGAAAAAAAUGGGUCAACAUUUUUUUUUUUUUUUUGGCGUUUGCAUGUACAACUUUCUAUUUUUAGCAUAUAUUUGGAAAGAAAGCACUUAACAUUUUAGGAAUUCUUUUUAAAGCUGCUUGCAAAGUAUUGGUGAUUUUACUGAAAACUUUUGAAAUCUUCAUUUUACAGGCAGACCUGUCUAACUACAAGCCAGACUUGGGUUUUCUCCUGUAGUUUGAAGACACACUGACUCCUGACAAAAUGCAACCUGCAGCUUCCUGGAGAACAACUCAGUGUCAUGUUAAAGUUUAUUAUGUAAUUAAUGAUACACUGUUUAAUUGACAGUUCUGCAUAGUUUGCCUAACUUUAGAGAAUUAAGAGCCUCUCAACUGAGCAGUAAAGGUAAGGAGAGCUCAAUCUACACAGAGCCAGUUUUUGGUGUUUGAUGGAAAUAAGAUCAUCAUGCCCACUUGAGACUUCAGAUAUUCUUUAGCUUAGUGGUUGUAUGAGUUACAUUCUUACUAAAGUCGAAAUUAAUGUAGUUUCUGCCUUCAUACAUUUCAUAUGUGGUAUUAGUUUUAAAGGGUCAUUAGGAAAAUGCACAUAUUCUGUGAAUUUUAAGACCCAUAGAAAAGUUGUUGAAGAAUGCUUAAUUUUCUUUAUCCAGUAAUGUAAACACAGAGACACAGCAUUGAGAUGUGCCUAGUUCUGUAUUUACAGUUUGGUCUGGCUGUUUGAGUUCUAGUGCCUUUUAUGUUAAUAAAUAAAAUACUGCAUUUUAAAGGUGUUAAGAAAAUGUCCAGAAUGAGCAUAUUGAAAUAAAAACUUCAAGGUUAUUAUUGCA